CUGGCGAUGAGAGCUGUGUUAGAAACAGAUUCCUUUUUGGCUUCGGUUAUUGGUAUUGUAGUUAAUUUUUCUUCCGCAUGGUUUGAAGUUAUCAUUUUUCCUAGCUUACUGAUCCUAUUAAUUGCAUGUUUUUGAGCUUUUAUGCCGUAUGAUUUAAACUUUGAAUCAACUAGUUGGCGCAAAGCAAUAAACAAAUCAGUAGUAUCAAUAUCGGCCUUUCUGUUUACUAAAGCGACCUCCUUCCUUUUCAUAGUCUUCUUAAAGGAGAAGACAUGUCCUAAACAUUCGGACUCAAGUAUUCUAAUCCAACCUCCAAAGAGUUUGACAACUUCCAAUCCACCGUUACCAACCUCGAGAGUUAAUUUUUGAUCUUGAAAUGAAUGAUCAAUAACUGCAAGAUCCACACUAAUUUUAGAUACUUUCAAUAGUUUAAUGAGAUUCUGGACUGGUACCAGAAGCAACUUGGCUCCCAAAUUCACUCGAUCUUCGGUGACAAGAUUGUUGUCUUCUUUCGAAUUGAUGGCACAAUUAGAAAGUACUACUUUAAAAUUAUCACUUUCGCUAUCAUGAAAAAAUGAUCGAUUUUCUAAGUGGUUUUUAUGUCCUUUGAAUGUGAGGAAGCUAACAUCGUCAUCCAGUGAACAAGGGACAUCAGUUGGAAAAAGAAUCGACGGGUCUUUGGACCUUUUGCAGCAUGAUAACAGUGCACGUUCUAUUUCUUCCCACUCUGCAGCGCUUUUUUGAGAUUUUCUAGCUAAUAAAUAAUUAAUCAAUUUUGGAAGUAAGAUUGGUACCGGCAAAUUAUUUAAUGAUGUAUCAACUAGUCUGAUCUUCUUGUUAUGGUAAUGAAAAGCAUGGCACAAUUGGUUGGAGCUCAGAAGUGCUUUCAAUCCCCCAGCUAGAGAAACAGCCAACUUAUUAGGGGUAGAAAUUUUCCUCAAAUUGUCAGUUUCAUCUUGGAAUAUUAGUAGAU
This is a non-coding RNA of Schizosaccharomyces pombe (fission yeast), 973 nucleotides long. Lineage: Eukaryota; Fungi; Ascomycota; Schizosaccharomycetes; Schizosaccharomycetales; Schizosaccharomycetaceae. The record is from the annotation of a GenBank genome assembly.